This 1271-nucleotide long non-coding RNA is filed under the name Malus domestica (apple). Its description in RNAcentral is "long non-coding RNA (MDOM_LNC019781)". The record is from RNAcentral. Lineage: Eukaryota; Viridiplantae; Streptophyta; Magnoliopsida; Rosales; Rosaceae.
AGGUGGAGAUUGAAGAAACAAUGGAGAUGAGUAAGAAUAAUUAAAAGGUUUAAUUAUUUAUAGCAAGGAUUAAUUAAUAUGUUAAUUAAUCAAACAAAUAAGUUCGUUAAAGACCUUGGGAUAGUUUUGGACCUUAAGGCCCAAUGGGCUUCGAACGUCAAGCCCAUUGACUUAAGUUGUAUGACAAUUUAAUGAAUACAGAUUCACAAAGGCCCAAAAGCCCAAAUCCCUAAUGUGGCCGGCCAUAUGUGUUGAAUUAGGGUUUUUUGGUUCUUUAGGUCAUUUAUAGAAGUGACUAUAUAAAGAACUUUAUAGCCUAAAAUUCAUAAGGGGGUUCUUUUGGAGAAAAUUGGUGAGAACUUGUCUCUCCUUUUCUCUCUAGGAGGCCGGCCCCCUUGGAGGGUGGAUCUAGCAAUCCCACUACUCCAAGGUCACUCAUUCCUUCUCCAAUCUCUCCUUGGUGUGGAGACUUAGAGGUUCUCAAUUUUGGGAACUUGGAGAAACCUUUUCUUCCAUCCAAAUCCAUAGAUUUUAGAUGCAAGGAAUGAAGGCCCUCUCCUUGGGUGAUUAGCCUUUGCUUAUGCAAAGAGGAAUCUACAAAGGUAUAAAUCUCAACUCACUUUGUUUUGAGUUGAUUCUUGGUUCACCAAUCUAUUAGGCUUUGAAUUUCAUGGGUAAUGUUUUGCUUUUGAAUGCAUGCAAGCAUGAUUCCGCCUUUUAAUUGUUAAAUGCAUGCUAUAGAUGUUAUUCAAAUGAACAUGUUUUCACAAAAUUAUCCUUCAAGUGGUAUCAGAGCCUAGGUCUAGUAGUUGGUGAAUCCUUUUGGGUUUUGUAGUUCAUAGUUUUGAUUUAAAAGUUGUAAUAUGUUACAAUCUUUAUUCUUGUUUCUUUGAAUGUAAAUUUUGUUAGAAAAUUUGCCAUCUCAAAUGUUGUAGAUGUAGUUGUAAACACGAAAUUUUCCUGAAACGAAAGAGACAAGAACAACGUGCACAAAAUAAUAUUUGUAUUUGAUGAUUUUGGGUUACAAUCUCUCUUAAAUUUGAUCAUCUGAUUCAAUCUCCGUAAGGUGUUGAUUUGUGGAUGUGCGAUUGAUCCAAAGGGCCGUUGGGCUUGAUCUAAGGAUGAGCGUUCUUCAAGGGCCAUGGACUUGAUCUUGAAGGUGGAUUUAAGCGGAUCUUCAAAGGGGCUUUUGGGCUUGAUCUUUGAAGAACAGUGAUGAACGGAUCUCCAGGGGCUUUUGGGCUUUGAUCUUGAAGAACGGUUGGACGCGU